AUUUCUUCAAUUAGUAUGGGAAGUAUUACAAGAUGUUACAUUAAUUAUAUUAGAAAUUGCAGCCAUAGUAUCAUUGGGCCUUUCUUUUUACCGGCCUCCAGGAGGGAAUGAUGCACGUCUAACAACUAUCUGAAGAUAAAAAAUAAAAUAAACUUAAGUAAUAUGUGGACAGCAAGCUGUGUGGAUGAAGUGAGUGAAGGGAAGACCAAUACUGGGAAGUCAUUUGUUUUAGGAUGGCCCAUUGUCAACUUCCUUGCCACUUUCAGGGGGCCAAGAGGUUGAAUCAGGAUGCCCAGCUUCAGAGGAGCUUUGGGCACUUGCUCAUUUGCUCACAAAUCUUCAAGUUGGUUCCCCUUGGCAUCUUUGAGGGAAAUCCUAUGGGUAGCAGCAGCCUUUAGGCUCUUAACUGCAUCAGGGGCAUUAUGGGUGCUUGAAAGAAAAUGGCACAGCCCCUGACAGUUACUCCACAUCAAUUCCAUAUUUUCUGUGUCCUGAUGGCUUUGCAACCCUGAACUAUUGACUAGCCAUGUGUCCUUCACACACAUUUCUUUCAUUCGGACCCACCUUUUUUUUUGGCUAACUAGGUAGAAGGUGCUGUAAUAAUUUAUGACAGCUGGAGCUUCAUCAGUGUGUUGGGAUCUCUGUCAGAAGAACAUGGAAAGGACAGCAUGGGGGGCUUAAGUUUAGUGAGACCAAGUAGGACUGGGAUGAAGGGCACCAUUGCUGCUCCCUUAAAAUAUCUGCAUUACAGCAAAAUUUGGAACACAGAGGCCUUUGGAGAUAGGAUGGGAUGAGAGCUAUUACCCUCAGCCCAUGAGGGAGUGGCCCACCAACAGGUCAUGAGUAUCCUUAUGGAAUCAAAAUGAGCCACCUUCGAGACACUUCAUUCCUGACACAGGGAUCAAAGGACUCACCAUCCCCUUUGGACUUCCAGGAAUCCUUCCUCAUGGAGCAGCUGCCCCGGGAGAUGCAGUGCCAGUUUAUACUGAAGCCCAGCCGCCUGGCCAGGAGCCAACCACUGACCGAUCCCAGCCAGAAGAUGCUCAAAAGAUCUAAAAUAAAUUGGCCCUUUUGGCGAGGCUCCAGUACUCACUGUGACAACAUACCAACACCUUCACCAUCCUCCAUGCCACAGCAGCUCUUUGGGGUUUCGCUGUCUGAAAUCUGUGAGAAUGACAACCUGCCUAAACCUCUUUUGGUGAGUCUCCCUUCAUUCUGCCCAGCUCCAUACCACAAAAGGUAAAAGUGUUUUUGGAAGGAAGAACAUGACAGCCUAGCAAUUUACUUUGAAAUUGGUGUUCAGUGUCUGGUGAGUAGGGAGGUCAUUCCAGGAAGGGGAAAACAAGGGAAUGAGCCAGAGAAGAGUGUAGAACAAUGCCCAAACUCUCAUCUUCACCUUAUCUUUCCCCUCUGUGCAAGAAAGGGGCAAAACAUCAAGAACAAAAUGCAAGUGAUGCUUCCUUUACCACAUCCUAGUUCCCCUGGAAUGAGGGUGAGCAGAGAAUGGGUGAACCAGAUCCCAGGAUGGCUUUUAUAUGGCCAGUUCAAGAGACAGAUGGCCACAAAGAAAGGAGUCAGAGAGAUUCUUGGAAGUUGCUUUGAAGUUGAGGUUUUAAAAUAUGCCUCAAGUAUGGACUUAGACACUUGCUAUUUAACUCAGAUGAAGUCUCUUCAUCUCUCUGGGCCUCCACUUCCCCAAAUGUAAAGUGAAAAGACUGGGCUUGAUGACCUUAUGUCCCUUCCAGCUCCAAAUCUAUGAUCCUGUAAUCGAACCAAACAGAACAGGCUAACUAGCCUGAUCUUAAGACUCUAAGGAAUGAGCUAAGGGAGCCUGAGAACUAGGGAUCUGGGAGGGAGUCACAAGCAACUUGAAGCUAAGUGGUACAAUGCAUAGAGCACUGGACCUGGAGUCAGGAAGACGUGAGUUCAGAUCCAGAUGUAAGUGCCAUAACCCCUUUUACUACAAAAGCUCUCGAUCUCAUCUGCUUCUCUACUAUAAUUCCUGCCCUGAACAAAAAGUUGGACCAUUUGACCUUUAAGGACACUUCUAUGAUUCUGAAUGAUCUCUCUUGCUGAAAUCUCUCAGAACACCCGAGGUCUCUCUUCCCCAUUUACUGUCUUACAACUGGUAUUACUAUAGAUGAACGUGCCAUGGAAGGGGGUGAGGUUCUAUUAUGAAGGUCUUUGCAAAGGGGCAGGAACUGUCUUCUAAAUGACUCUUAGUAAAUUCAUGUGUCUGUGCUGGGUUUCUGUACAGAUGUCUCUCAGACCUGCUCUUCUACCCUGGAGCUAACUUCCUGUUCAAUACUUUGUUCACAAAGCUACUUGAACUAGAAUAUCCACUGUGUACUCCCAUUGCCCAUGCCCCAGACACUGAUCCUACCCUUUUAUGGUGAUGGAGAAGGUAGGGCAACAACAUUGCCCUUGGCUCUUCAAGCAACUUGGUCAGCCUUUGAGGUUGGUGGUGGGGGGGUAGUUUUCAUCGUCAUCAUGUCACUCACAGUGGCUCUUUGGAGCCUUCCCUUUUCCAAAUUCUUUCCAAUGACUUUGUCUGACCAUUGCCCUGAGUAGCCUGUCACCUGAUCCCCUUUAUUAAAGCCCAGGAGUUUUAAAGCAGAACAAGUCAGAGAUUUUCAAAUUCCAUUACUAAGCCCUGGGAAUAGAAAGAUAAAAAUCUUGGGAUCAAGUCCUGUUUCUGGCUCAAACUAAGUGCGUGACUGAGCAACUCACCAAAUCUCUCAGCAUUCUCAGCAUCUUUUUCUAAGACUAUAAGUUCAAUCUUCCUUCUUUCUCUUUCUUUGUUUCUUUCUUUUCUUUGUUUCUUU
Phascolarctos cinereus (koala) is the source of this 2825-nucleotide non-coding RNA. The record is from RefSeq and is a predicted model, not a curated record. NCBI's taxonomy places the organism in Eukaryota, Metazoa, Chordata, Mammalia, Diprotodontia, Phascolarctidae.